GACGAACGCUGGCGGCGUGCUUAACACAUGCAAGUCGAGCGGUAAGGCCCUUUCGGGGGUACACGAGCGGCGAACGGGUGAGUAACACGUGGGUGACCUGCCCUCAGCUCUGGGAUAAGCCUGGGAAACUGGGUCUAAUACUGGAUAUGACUCCACGGUGCAUGUCGUGGGGUGGAAAGCCUUGUGCGGCUGAGGAUGGGCCCGCGGCCUAUCAGCUUGUUGGUGGGGUGAGGCCUACCAAGGCGACGACGGGUAGCCGGCCUGAGAGGGCGACCGGCCACACUGGGACUGAGACACGGCCCAGACUCCUAC
This 312-nucleotide ribosomal RNA is filed under the name uncultured bacterium. Its description in RNAcentral is "bacterial SSU rRNA". It matches the Rfam family "Bacterial small subunit ribosomal RNA", at positions 28 to 342 of the family's 1533-position model. The record is from RNAcentral.